UAUUCUGAUUAUAAGAAAGACGUCGACAGACACAAAGCGAAAUACACAAUACACGAUAUGACAAGAUUUCACCAAAAAACAGGAAUCAUCGAUGACAAAUACAAAUGUGUAGAAUUGUAACCUUUGCAAUAUAGAAGAAUAUGGGAGGUUUUUAUAUUUUCUGUUUAUGGUUUGCUUUGUUUACAAAAAUUAUCACAGCCUGGGAGUUCAACAUAUGCAUAAUUCACCAAACUGGUGUGGAUUUCCCAGAAUCAAACCUUAUACAAUACAUGCACGAUGCUAUGUUUUCGUUCACCGACAGAGGGCGCUUUCCACAAAUAACGCUUAAUACUUCCCUGAUUGAGCUCUCAAAGACGGAAUUACUAGGCAUAACGGACAAUGGUUGUUCUAAAAUACCACCAAGUUGUCAUGGAUUAAUCACAAUAGCCGACUGUUCGCAAGCUUCAUUGAUCAACGUUUGGGCUUCCAAACACGUGAUACCUCACGUGAUACUCAACGAUAAGUCAUGUGAUCACCAUUCAGAUAACGGAAUCAAAAUGACGCCAUAUUAUCACAGUGAAAACGAGGCUAUUACAGCGAUUGCUAAUCACGAGCAAUGGUCGGAAGUUUUAAUUUUACAUGAUUCCUUUAUAGGUUCAAAACAAAAAGCAGGCUUGAUAAAUGAAUUAUCGAAAUAUUAUAUAGGCUCACUAUGCCUGGACAUCGACGAUGGAUUAUCCAGUCAUAUGCAGACCAUUUUAGAUUCCCAAUAUCGAAACAUUAUUGUUAUAGCCCGUGAUCAGAAUGUACGGGAUGUAUUCCAACAGGCUAAAGAUUUGUCAAUGUUGGAUGCUGCGUUUUUCUGGUUGGCAUAUUCUGAUACGAUAUCCGCAGCAUCUUUGAAAGAGGGUAAGGUGAAUGGCAGUAAUGUUGUAUUUUUAAAGAGAAAGUUACCGGCUGGGAGUGAUCUCCCUUGUCUACAGGUCAAUGGUCAAUG
Long non-coding RNA from Patella vulgata (common limpet), 976 nucleotides. RefSeq lists it as uncharacterized. Lineage: Eukaryota; Metazoa; Mollusca; Gastropoda; Patellidae. The transcript is spliced from 6 exons. The record is from RefSeq and is a predicted model, not a curated record.